RNAcentral lists this ribosomal RNA (253 nucleotides) under uncultured bacterium. Its description in RNAcentral is "partial 16S ribosomal RNA". It matches the Rfam family "Bacterial small subunit ribosomal RNA", at positions 524 to 776 of the family's 1533-position model. The record is from RNAcentral.
UACGAAGGGUGCAAGCGUUACUUGGAAUUACUGGGCGUAAAGCGUGCGUAGGCGGUUUGUUAAGUCCGUUGUGAAAGCCCUGGGCUCAACCUGGGAAUUGCAGUGGAUACUGGCAAGCUAGAGUACGGUAGAGGAUGGUGGAAUUCCCGGUGUAGCGGUGAAAUGCGUAGAGAUCGGGAGGAAGGCCGGUGGCGAAGGCGGCGCUCUGGAACGGCCCUGACACUGAGACGCGAAAGCGUGGGGAGCGAACCGG